Molecule: ribosomal RNA, 495 nt
Filed under: uncultured bacterium
Lineage: Bacteria
Description: partial 16S ribosomal RNA
Rfam family: Bacterial small subunit ribosomal RNA
Source: RNAcentral
GAUGAACGCUGGCGGCGUGCCUAAUACAUGCAAGUAGAACGCUGAAGGAGGAGCUUGCUCUUCUGGAUGAGUUGCGAACGGGUGAGUAACGCGUAGGUAACCUGCCUGGUAGCGGGGGAUAACUAUUGGAAACGAUAGCUAAUACCGCAUAAAAUUGAUUAUUGCAUGAUAGUCAAUUAAAAGGUGCAAUUGCAUCACUACCAGAUGGACCUGCGUUGUAUUAGCUAGUUGGUGAGGUAACGGCUCACCAAGGCAACGAUACAUAGCCGACCUGAGAGGGUGAUCGGCCACACUGGGACUGAGACACGGCCCAGACUCCUACGGGAGGCAGCAGUAGGGAAUCUUCGGCAAUGGACGGAAGUCUGACCGAGCAACGCCGCGUGAGUGAAGAAGGUUUUCGGAUCGUAAAGCUCUGUUGUAAGAGAAGAACGAGUGUGAGAGUGGAAAGUUCACACUGUGACGGUAUCUUACCAGAAAGAGACGGCUAACUACGUG